This 253-nucleotide ribosomal RNA is filed under the name uncultured bacterium. RNAcentral describes it as "partial 16S ribosomal RNA". It matches the Rfam family "Bacterial small subunit ribosomal RNA", at positions 524 to 776 of the family's 1533-position model. The record is from RNAcentral.
CACGAACCGUACGAACGUUAUUCGGAAUUACUGGGCUUAAAGGGUUUGUAGGCGGCUUUGUAAGUCAGGUGUGAAAGCCCUCGGCUCAACCGAGGAACAGCGCUUGAUACUGCAAGGCUUGAGGGAGACAGGGGUAAGCGGAACUGAUGGUGGAGCGGUGAAAUGCGUUGAUAUCAUCAGGAACACCGGUGGCGAAAGCGGCUUACUGGGUCUCUUCUGACGCUGAGGAACGAAAGCUAGGGUAGCGAGCGGG